GAUUGAUUGUGGGGGUUUCUGCCCCCCGGAAGCCAGCUUUUCGGGGCUCCGGGGCUCGCCUGCUCUUCCAAAGAGAAAAAGGACAAAAGGCCGGCGUCCAUGUUGGCAUCAUGACGCAGCAUCUCUCUCCCGCCUGCAGCCUGGCGCUGCUUGUCCUCCGGGCCGCGCUCGCUCCUCCCUCCCAAACACGAGUUUUAUUUUCAGGUUUUUGAGCCGAGCCGAGGGCUGGGUCGGGUUGGAGCCAAGGCUGAAGCCGCCGGGCCGUUCAAUACUGCUCUCUGGCUAAUGGCGGCCGGCUUUCCUCCUUCCUUCCUUCCGCCAUCCUGCUUUUCCCCGGUUGUCGCUGGGAGCCGAGAGGCAGCCCCGAGCCCUAAGAGCCUGCCAGGUCUUGGCUGGAGACCGGAGCCAUGUCUGUGUUAUCCCCACUGUAGACAAUCCUUGCUUCCUCUGGACAUCUGGAGCAGGCCCAAUUUGACUGACAGCCUUCCCCACUAAGAAGUGAAUUCUCCCCUUGGCAAACUGCAGCCAGCCAGCCUCCUGGGUCGAGAGCCAAGCCAAAAGAUGUCUGAGAGAAGAAACCUGGUGUCCUGCAAAGGUAAGUGGGUCCCAGCCCACUCUCAAUCUCCCUCUCUUUG
RNAcentral lists this long non-coding RNA (635 nucleotides) under Mus caroli (Ryukyu mouse). RNAcentral describes it as "lncRNA (MGP_CAROLIEiJ_G0006189.1)". Lineage: Eukaryota; Metazoa; Chordata; Mammalia; Rodentia; Muridae. The record is from RNAcentral.